GAAAAGCCUCUAGAUAGAAAAUAGGUGCCCGUACCGCAAACCGACACAGGUAGUCAAGAUGAGAAUUCUAAGGUGAGCGAGCGAACUCUCGUUAAGGAACUCGGCAAAAUGACCCCGUAACUUCGGGAGAAGGGGUGCUCUUUAGGGUUAACGCCCAGAAGAGCCGCAGUGAAUAGGCCCAAGCGACUGUUUAUCAAAAACACAGGUCUCUGCUAAACCGUAAGGUGAUGUAUAGGGGCUGACGCCUGCCCGGUGCUGGAAGGUUAAGAGGAGUGGUUAGCUUCUGCGAAGCUACGAAUCGAAGCCCCAGUAAACGGCGGCCGUAACUAUAACGGUCCUAAGGUAGCGAAAUUCCUUGUCGGGUAAGUUCCGACCCGCACGAAAGGCGUAACGAUUUGGGCACUGUCUCAACGAGAGACUCGGUGAAAUCAUAGUACCUGUGAAGAUGCAGGUUACCCGCGACAGGACGGAAAGACCCCGUGGAGCUUUACUGUAGCCUGAUAUUGAAAUUCGGCACAGCUUGUACAGGAUAGGUAGGAGCCUUUGAAACGUGAGCGCUAGCUUACGUGGAGGCGCUGGUGGGAUACUACCCUAGCUGUGUUGGCUUUCUAACCCGCACCACUUA
Molecule: ribosomal RNA, 625 nt
Filed under: Staphylococcus aureus
Lineage: Bacteria; Bacillati; Bacillota; Bacilli; Caryophanales; Staphylococcaceae
Description: partial 23S ribosomal RNA
Rfam family: Bacterial large subunit ribosomal RNA
Source: RNAcentral